Molecule: ribosomal RNA, 1225 nt
Filed under: Lactiplantibacillus plantarum
Lineage: Bacteria; Bacillati; Bacillota; Bacilli; Lactobacillales; Lactobacillaceae
Description: bacterial SSU rRNA
Rfam family: Bacterial small subunit ribosomal RNA
Source: RNAcentral
UGCCUAUACAUGCAGUCGAACGAACUCUGGUAUUGAUUGGUGCUUGCAUCAUGAUUUACAUUUGAGUGAGUGGCGAACUGGUGAGUAACACGUGGGAAACCUGCCCAGAAGCGGGGGAUAACACCUGGAAACAGAUGCUAAUACCGCAUAACAACUUGGACCGCAUGGUCCGAGUUUGAAAGAUGGCUUCGGCUAUCACUUUUGGAUGGUCCCGCGGCGUAUUAGCUAGAUGGUGAGGUAACGGCUCACCAUGGCAAUGAUACGUAGCCGACCUGAGAGGGUAAUCGGCCACAUUGGGACUGAGACACGGCCCAAACUCCUACGGGAGGCAGCAGUAGGGAAUCUUCCACAAUGGACGAAAGUCUGAUGGAGCAACGCCGCGUGAGUGAAGAAGGGUUUCGGCUCGUAAAACUCUGUUGUUAAAGAAGAACAUAUCUGAGAGUAACUGUUCAGGUAUUGACGGUAUUUAACCAGAAAGCCACGGCUAACUACGUGCCAGCAGCCGCGGUAAUACGUAGGUGGCAAGCGUUGUCCGGAUUUAUUGGGCGUAAAGCGAGCGCAGGCGGUUUUUUAAGUCUGAUGUGAAAGCCUUCGGCUCAACCGAAGAAGUGCAUCGGAAACUGGGAAACUUGAGUGCAGAAGAGGACAGUGGAACUCCAUGUGUAGCGGUGAAAUGCGUAGAUAUAUGGAAGAACACCAGUGGCGAAGGCGGCUGUCUGGUCUGUAACUGACGCUGAGGCUCGAAAGUAUGGGUAGCAAACAGGAUUAGAUACCCUGGUAGUCCAUACCGUAAACGAUGAAUGCUAAGUGUUGGAGGGUUUCCGCCCUUCAGUGCUGCAGCUAACGCAUUAAGCAUUCCGCCUGGGGGAGUACGGCCGCAAGGCUGAAACUCAAAGGAAUUGACGGGGGCCCGCACAAGCGGUGGAGCAUGUGGUUUAAUUCGAAGCUACGCGAAGAACCUUACCAGGUCUUGACAUACUAUGCAAAUCUAAGAGAUUAGACGUUCCCUUCGGGGACAUGGAUACAGGUGGGUGCAUGGUUGUCGUCAGCUCGUGUCGUGAAAUGUUGGGGUUAAGUCCCGCAACGAGCGCAACCCUUAUUAUCAGUUGCCAGCAUUAAGUUGGGCACUCUGGUGAGACUGCCGGUGACAAACCGGAGGAAAAGGGGGGGAAUAAACUCAAAUCUCCAUGGCCCUUAUAGACCGGGGGGUACACCCUGGUUCCAA